ACCAAACAAUCUGGCUAUUCCUUCAAUCUGCAGCUCUAUCUAGACGAAAACAGCAGAAAAGGGUAUUUUUGAUACAAAUAUAUAUUUUAAAAAAGUCUCUAAAUGGCCAAGGAAAGUCAUAGAUUGGUCUUAACGGUCUUGCCUAAACAUAAUUUCCAGCUACAGAAGUCGCACUAACAGUGUAAAAAAAAGGGGGGUUGUUUUUGUAAACACAGCAGACAUUCAAAUGAGAUAUAAAUAAUUUUGGUAAAAAAAAUUGCAAUAAUUGAUAAAGAUCGGCUGUUUACAUCUUGAAAUUGUCUCUUUUUUUUUUAAAAGGUUGGAAAAGACCAAAGUCCAGAUUCUUAUCAAACUCAAAUCAAUUUGUUUAGAGGAAUUACUCCAGUAUUGGACACUAUUGUAUAAAAAAUGUUCAAAAUUACAGUAAAAAAUAUAACCACAUUGUGCGAUAAAAAUAAAAUAAAUCUUAUACUUAAUACAUCUUAUACAUGUUAUACGGCACUAAAAUUAUCUUCCUCUUUCGUAACAAAUUGUUAAAAUGCAAAAGUAAUCUAUUGCAAUAGAUUUCAUUAUACACAGUGGCGGAUUCAGCGGGGGGCGUAGAGGGCGUACGCCCCCCCCCCCCUUUUGCUUGACGUUUUUUUUUUUUUUUUUUGUAAAAUAAUUAAUUAGACUAGACUUCAUGAAACUUUCCAUUUCCUGUGUAUUAUGUUUUUAAGCGACAAUUCUUUGGUUACAAAUGUAUAUUUUGCACGUAUUUACUGUAUUAUAUUAUUGGUUAUGUAAAAGUUAUGUGAUUUGCUACGAGUUAACCAGUGCAUCGAAAAAACGUCAACUCAGUCAUUUUGAAAUUCAAAUAACAGUAACACAUUGCUUUGGCUGAGGGUGACAAGUAUGACACCUUCAAAGCGACAAAGAAUUGAGCAAGAACGUAGUGACUUCUAUUUCACAAUUCCACAAACAGAAAGUAAUACUCUAUUAUACUCUCAUAAAAAAAAGUUUCACAGCAAUAUUAUUUACCUAUCAAAACAUGUUAACCCCACACGCCUCAGCUUAUUAAUAACUGUUACAUAGCUGAAUAAUGAUCCCCAAUCAGCAAGCUCUAUAUAGAUUUAAAGUCUAAGGUAUGGCAGUUAGAUUUGAGGGGGAAGUCUGAGAUGUUUGAGAGAAGAAAAAUUACCCUGAUUUUUGCCUUAAACAUGUUAAUCAUGUUAAACAUAAAUUCUGGUCGUAUUUGGAAUGAAAACAAUAAGCUUGUCCACUUAUUUGCUAUUAGAAACAAAAUUUCCAACAAAAUUAUUUGGCCUUUAUGUCUCAAUUUGUCAUUCAUAAAUUCGUAGUCUUUUCAGACUCAUUUGUAGUUUUUGGUUGAAUUAGAACCUCACUUUCCUUGUUUUGUGAAACAUUUCAACCAAACAUUUUGAUAAAAUUUCUUGUUUGUCUUUCUUAAAUAGUGUCGGUCGUAUUGUAAAUUUCAUUGAAUAUAUAUAUAGCCCGGCGUUUAUCUUGUUUACAACAAGAUAUCUGUGAGGUUAUACCAACUAAACAUACAACAAACAAGAAUUUUCCAUGCCCAUAUUUUACUGACAAGUCUGACAUCAAAUAUAUUAGUCCAUAUCAUUACAUAAUAGAUAGUUUAUGUGGAGAAUACGGCAUAAAAAAUGUUUUAAGCUCGUACACUUUAACAGCAACUAUAGAAUAACAACAACAACAACAACAAUACAUUAUUAAGAGGGUUACACAGUAGCUAUAUAAACUAAUCUUCCCUGAGGACCCCUCAUCAUGGAGAAAUCAAACAAAAUGCAUAACAUUUACAUUGCUAACAUUAGUAUAAAAAGUCAAGUAUAGGUAAUAAUUUCUCAAUACAACUUGAUUAAAAAUGUGAUGAAAAAAAUAAACAUGAUGACAAUGUAUCAGUUUUUAAUAUUAUUGAUAAUAGCUAGAUUGAUUUCAAUAAAUGAUCUGUUUAUUUGUAUUUGAAAGAAUAACAUUUGUAUAUGCUUAACGGUAUGAAAUUAUUCCACUAAGAAUGGUCCAGAAAUACAUAAAGAUUUUUUGAACAACCUUCGUUUUUGUUUAGAGUAUGAGGUUUCCUUGAACAGCAUUUCUCAAGGGGUAUGAUUUCUGUCUUGAAACAUAAUGAAACUGUUAGUAAGAUAUGAUGGGGGCAUCAUUUUUAAUGCACUUAAAUGUCAAUCACUUAACUAUGAUAUUUUAUUCUCUGUUCAACUGUACAUCCAGUUUAAAUGUUUGAAUUGAAGGGUUUGCAGAAGGAGCGAAUGAGUCUGUUUCUAGUAUUAAUCUAGCAAGCCCUCUUUUUUAUUUUAAUAAUCCUUUUUUAAACCCUCACUGCUACAACUACUCCACACUAUACAACAUUAAUCAAUUUCAGUGGCAAGAUAUAACCAUGAUAUAGAAUAAUUUUCUGCAGUCUAGAUUUAGAAAUUUUUUAAUCUUUAAUAGUUACGAUAUAGAUCUAGAUGAUAUUUUUGACAGAUCACUCAAUCUGGUUUGUCCAUGUAGAAAGGUCAAUUUUAAUGCCUUAAAAAGACUUCACAUGUGAAGAUUGUCAGUCAGCUGAUGUACAUACGUUAAACAACUUCUCAAUUAGUAAUGUGGCAUUGCUCUUUGCUUCGUUCAAUAAUCAUAUUAUUUUGUUUUAUUUUUAUUGAUGAACAAUUGUUAUCAUUGCACCAUUCCCUACACCAUGUAAAUCGUCUUGUACCUUGACGUAGAGUUUGAUAACAAAUAACCAGAAAGAAUGUAAAGUUGAAUCACGCAUCAUAAAUCCAGCUGCAACCAAUUUUGCAAAAAUAGGAGAUCGUUUAUGUGAUAAUAUUAAAACAGAAGGGCCUAAUAGAGCCUUGGGCGGGGACACAUAAUUGAUAAUAAGUUUUUCAGAAUGAGCAUUACCAAUUUGUACUUGUUUGAGUUCUUUCAUUCAAAUAAUUGAUUUAAAAAAAAGAAACAGCAGUAUUAUCCAAAUCCAUUAAAUUUCAAGUUUUUUAAAGAAUAUCAGUGAUUUACUACAUCAAAAGCUUUCUAUAAAAUCCAACAGGACGUGCUUAAGUUGAUAUUACCAUCAUUCAUUGCCGUAUCAUUAUCUAUGAUAUUGAGAAAGGCAGUUGGCAAGAUGGUUCUUGUCGAAACCCAGGACUGUGCUGGGUAGUAAAAGAUUCUAAUACUUUUUAGGUGUUCAACAAAUGAUUUGAAACAUGCUUUUUCUAAAAGUUUUGAUAAAACGGAAAGUACAUGCCCAAAGUCAGGAACCAUUUAAAAAGUGCAUUUUACACUUAUUUUAUGGUUUUUUAGCCUAAAAAAGGUCCCAAAACAUUAUUUAUUUCGCCCCCCCCCUCUUUCCAAAAUCCUUGAUCCGCCCCUGAUACCUUUAAUCUUUUAUUCACAUAUAUAUAUAUACUAAAGUAAUUGUUUGUAUUUUACUACCAUGUAUUCGAAUUGUUUAUCCAUCUGGUCAUUACCAUUUAUUGUAAAUGCGUUUGUACCAAUAAAAUAUUGUCUAUUGUCUAUUGUCUGUUAACAGUGGCCGUCAGUUGGUCUGAUUGGGGUCUAAGCGUGAUGCAGGAUUACUGAUUUUUUGUAAGCUUGACACGUGAAAGUCAAAUUAUUGUGUCGUGAAAACGUGAAAUGAGGUCUAGCGGGACCAGGGAAAUGACAAAAAGUGAGAAUUGCUUACGUACAUAGUGUAAGCGGGAUACAGGAAUCUGACAAAACAGUAAGCGGGAUCCGGGAUCGUAACCCCCCAAUGAGACCCCCUUAACAAAUUAUGUAUUAGACUAGUCCAAGUAAUUAUGAUGUCUGGGAAGGCUAUUCUUUUUUUCUAGGAAGUCUUCCUCCCAGAAAAAAAAUAAAAUAGGCUUGCCAGAUGUCAUAAUUAUUUGGACUAGUCUUUGACAAGGUUGAAAAUAAUUAAGUGAGGUUCAUUCUUUUACAGAGUUAUGCCCUUUUAAAAUAUUAAUUAUAUGGAAUAUUGCUCUAAUGUACACAGAUUUUUAUGAAAUUUAUAUUACCGGUUUACAUCAUCAAUGUCUUUUGACAAGUAUAUAAAACACUGUGCUGUCAAUUAUUCUUAAAAGAGUAAGGUCACUUGUGUACAAUAUUAUUGAUAGAAUUUUACAAUCUUUAUCUAUAUUUUAUAACUUCUACCAAUCUAGGCACACCUCCAGAGUCCUGUCUCUUUGUAAAUAUAUUAGUUUUCAACAAGUAAAGUGAACACAUUUUUGUCGAGCCUGCAACUUUUGUUGCAGAAAGCUCGACAUAGGGAUAGUGAUCUGGCGGCUACAGCGUCGGCUACUGCGGCGCGUUAGCUAACUACUUAAAAGGUUUAUAUUUUAGAAGGUGAAAGACCUGGAUGCUUCAUACUUUGUAUAUAGAUGCCUCAUGUUACGAAGUUUCCGUCAGCACAUGCUCCAAUGUCUUGACCUCAUUUUCAUCGUUCAUGACCAUUGAAAACAAAAAGUCAGGAAUUUUUGUAAUGUUGAAUUCUCUUUAUUAUAAGGAAUAGGAUAACUAAUAUUGGUAUAUCGCCUACCUUGCCAAGGUCUCAUGCCCGUCAACAGUUUCUCACUUGACCUCGAACUCAUUUCAUGGAUCAGUGACAAGGUUAAGUUUGUUGGUCAAGUCCAAUAUCUCAGAAACUAAUAAGCAAUAGGGCUUAGUUAUAUUGGUAUGGAAGACUGGAACGGUCUGUACAUGUUCCAACUGGCAGUGUAUCUGGACUUGACUCAUUUUCAGUAUGGUUCAGUUUGUUAUAGUUAAGUUUUUGUGUUUUGGUCUGUUUUUCUCAUACUUUAUGCAAUAGGUCCACUAUAUUUGUUGUAUGGAAUGAUUGUAAGGUGUACAUGUCUAGCGGGCAGAUGUCAUCUGACCUUGACCUCAUUUUCAUGGUUCAGUGGUCAAAGUUAAGUUUAUAAGUUUUGGUCUUUUUAUCUAAUAUUAUAUGCCAAAGGUCAACUAUAUUUGGUGUAUGGAAAUAUAUUAUGAUUUAUAUGUCAGUCCUGCAGGUUUUAUUUGACCAUGACCUCAAUUGCACGGAGUUCAUUUGCACAGUGUUUAAUUUUUUUGUUUUGGUCGUAUCUUUUCUCAAACUAUAAGAUAAAUAGCGUCAACUAUAUUUGUUGUUAUGGAAGCUUUUUAGCUUGUACUGUCUGCCUGGCAUGGUUCAUCUGACUUGACCUCAUUUUCAUGUUCAUUUGUCUUUGUUAGCAUCUUGGUUCAAUGUUAAGUUUUAUGUGACAGUUGUAAUAAAGCUUUAUACUUUACUAGCCAGGGGGGACUCUGCUUAACCAUAAUAUCAAUGCAUUAGUAAGAAAGUCGACAGACAUUUCUCCGUGUGUGCACUCUUGUUUUAAUUAGGAUAGAGCCAAGGCAGUCCACAGCUUUUUUAAAAGCUCAAACUUGUCAUGCUUGUAUAAAAUCAUGUUACUUUUUUUAAAGGUUAAUUAUAUGUAGAGAAUUAUUUUACAGAUAUUAGAGAACAAGCAAGCAGUUAUUUUAAAGAAUGAAACUGGAACAUUGAAUUCCUUUCUUGGAAGGAGAAGAAAUAUAAAGAUGUUAUAAGACUGAUGUAACUAUGGACAGUAGUGAUCCAGUCACCAAUAUCACAGAUAUCACAGGUUUGAAAUGUGUUCUGUUUUAUGCCCAAAACAAAUACUUUUUCUGAUAUAUAUAAGAAUUUGCCAAUGGGUGUUGCAGCAAAACCUCGAUUUGGUUUCUAUUAUAUUAAUUAGGAAAUAACAAUAAUUUACUUUAAUCACCUACAGCAUCAAUUGGUGAUUUGAUUGUUGCAAAUUAAAUUUACUGGCGAUACAAUAUCGUUAUAAAAUUGAGAAUGGAAAUGGGGAAUGUGUCAAAGAGACAACAAACCGACCAAAGAGCAAAAACAGCCAUCUCCAAUUUUAAGUGAAGAAUGGAAGAAAAAAAGUUAAACAUACCCAUUAAUAUUCAUCAUACUCGUGCUUAAGUAUAAGGCUAUAGCUUUUGAAGAGAUGUUGUCAUGUGGGAAUCUACCUACGUUUGAUUUGUAUGAAAUAAACACAAUGAACAGACUAGAUUUGCUUGCCUGCAUUGAAAGACCCAAAUCGGUGGCCUUUGGCUGUUAUAUGCUCUUUUGGUCAGGCUGUUUUGCUGUCUCUAUUGACAUAUUUCCCCAUUUCCAUUCUGCAGUUUUUUGUCAGAUGAAACUUAUGGACUUGACUGCUCUUUAUUCAUUUAAAGAAUAUAGAAAAAACUGUUUUAAUUUUAUAGAAUAUAAAGAAUGAAAGACCCCCAUUGUCAUCAAACUUAUUUCACAACUUAAUUUUGUAUCAGACACAUGCACUGAAUCUAGAAAUAAAAGACAAUGUUUCUUUGCAUUUUUUUCUUCAAAUUUUAUUUAAAGAAACAACAGCAUUCAGCAUAUAUAUACCACAUUACAACCACCCAUACUGGAAACCCAUGACGAUGAUUCCUCUGGUUCACGGAGAUUACAUGACCAUAACAUUUUUGUACGUUUGGUUUACAUGGCGGAUUAAUAGUGCCACCAUCUUCUAUUUGAUAUUACAAUGAUUUGUGAUUAACAUAGAAAAACCAAAACAGACAAAGAAAAGUGAAUAUAGAUAUAAGAAGAUGUGGUAUGCAGUGCCAAUGAGACAACUCUCCAAUCCAAGCCACAAUUUGUAGAGUAAACCAUUAAAGGUACAAAGUGAUGCAUCUUCAACACAGACCCUUGGGCUCACGACCGAACAGCAAAGCCUUAAUGGACCCCAAAAAAUGAUAGUGUAAAACCAUUCAAACGGGGGGAAAACAAACAGUUCUAAUAUCUAUUUAAAAAAACCAGAAAUGAAAAACACUUAUAUAAAGCACAUCAACAACCGACAACUACUGAACAUCAGAUUCCUGACCUUGGACUGGUUCAAACAAAUGCAGUAUUAAUAAACUUUUUAAUAGGUACCAACCUUCACCCUUAUCUGAAACAAUAGUGUAAAAUCACAACAAAGAAACAAGAUGAGAUACUCUCUAUUAUUAAAGAUUGAACAUAUAAGGAAAUUGGGAUAAUGCUUAGGGCUAUUCCAGAAAAAAAUGUAUGGGGGGGUUGGAAGGCACUUUUUGUCAGCACCCGCCACCCAGACAAUUGUAAUUGAGACUUGUAGUGCAUUAUAGUGUGAAAAGUGCUCUGAUACCCAUCACCCAUGUAUUAUUAAUACAAUGUGCCUUCCAACCCCCCCCAUACAUUUUUUUCUGGAAUAGCCCUUAAGAAAAAUGGGACAUAAUAAUAAAGAAUAGAGAAAAAUAGAUGAAAUAAAUAAAAUACCAUUAGACUGUUUGGUGAUGCUUGAAAUUUGUCCAUGGCAUUCAUAAUAUCUACUACUUCUCCGACCCUUGUAUUAGUUAUUUGUGAUGUCAAAAAAUGAAGGUGAUAACAAGGACCUGUUGGAGAAUAAUAAAGUGGUGAAAUAUUUUACUGAAUCAGCCUUACAGAAAAAGAUGAAGAGCUGUCUACAAUUGACAAACGUCAUAAGGAAGCUAACUUUUGAUUUUUAUUGAGGGGCUAGGAUGAAAUUGUUAAGAAGGCAGAACAGGAGUUUUGAGUAAAAAAAGGGUAGGAUGAGCAACUUGGCAAACAGAAGAGAACGGAUGACAAUUUAUGGGAAAAAAGUCAGGAUGAACUAGUUAAAAAAAUGCAAGACCGAAGAGAAUGAAAAAAGCAGGACAGACUUUACAACUAAAUAAUGCAGGACAACAUUUUUCAUUCAUUAGAGCCCCAGGAAUUGGUAUGUACUGAUAGUAUACGCCACACUGAAAGUAAUUAAUAUACUUUAUGUUUUUAUCAUAUUUAUAGAUAAUCAAAAAUAAUAUAUAAACUUUUUGUCUUUUCAGAUCAACUAUGUUAUUAAGAAACGGCCCUGACAUUCCCAUGGAUGAUAUUCCUCUGUCAAUCAGAACAAAUCUAGAAAAUGGCCGACUCUAAAUCAUGUAUACAGCAGCCAUCUUGAGGGAGACAGAUUGAAGACUAUGAAUGUCAGAAAACAUUUAAAAUGGCAUGAAAAAUGUAAAAAAAAAUACUGUGUUCUCAUUAGCUAAAAUAUUUUGCUUGUAAAACCUGGUUGUACUAUUUUUAAGAUGUGAUUUUUUUAUUUUUAUUUUUUUA
This 8146-nucleotide long non-coding RNA is filed under the name Mytilus galloprovincialis (Mediterranean mussel). Lineage: Eukaryota; Metazoa; Mollusca; Bivalvia; Mytilida; Mytilidae. The record is from RNAcentral.